Molecule: ribosomal RNA, 258 nt
Filed under: uncultured bacterium
Lineage: Bacteria
Description: partial 16S ribosomal RNA
Rfam family: Bacterial small subunit ribosomal RNA
Source: RNAcentral
UGGCGGACGGGUGAGUAACGCGUGGAAAACCUGCCGUAUACUGGGGGAUAAUACUUAGAAAUAGGUGCUAAUACCGCAUAAGCGCACAGCUUCGCAUGAAGCGGUGUGAAAAACUCUGGUGGUAUACGAUGGUUCCGCGUCUGAUUAGCUAGUUGGUGGGGUAAUGGCCUACCAAGGCAACGAUCAGUAGCCGGCCUGAGAGGGUGAACGGCCACAUUGGGACUGAGACACGGCCCAAACUCCUACGGGAGGCAGCAG